This 72-nucleotide transfer RNA is filed under the name Gregarina niphandrodes. It matches the Rfam family "tRNA". Rfam says of the family: Transfer RNA (tRNA) molecules are approximately 80 nucleotides in length. Their secondary structure includes four short double-helical elements and three loops (D, anti-codon, and T loops). The record is from Rfam by way of RNAcentral. Lineage: Eukaryota; Apicomplexa; Conoidasida; Eugregarinorida; Gregarinidae.
GGGUGUAUAGCUCAGAGGUAGACCAGCUGACUGCAGAUCUGCAGGUCCAUAGUUCAGUUCCGUGUGUGCCCU